RNAcentral lists this transfer RNA (67 nucleotides) under Marmota monax (woodchuck). Its description in RNAcentral is "tRNA.Ala". The record is from RNAcentral. Lineage: Eukaryota; Metazoa; Chordata; Mammalia; Rodentia; Sciuridae.
GGCUGUAGUUCAGUGGUUGAGUGCUUGCCUUGCAUGCGUGAGGCACUGGGUUUGAUCCUCAGCACCA